This 392-nucleotide ribosomal RNA is filed under the name uncultured bacterium. RNAcentral's name for it is "bacterial SSU rRNA". It matches the Rfam family "Bacterial small subunit ribosomal RNA", at positions 29 to 417 of the family's 1533-position model. The record is from RNAcentral.
AUUGAACGCUGGCGGCACGCCUAACACAUGCAAGUCGAGCGGCAGCGUGAUGAGUAGCAAUACUCAUUGACGGCGAGCGGCGGACGGGUGAGGAACACGUAGGAACCUGCCCUUUAGAGAGGGACAACCAAGGGAAACUUUGGCUAAUACCUUAUGCACUCGAGAGAGGAAAGCUGCCCUGAAAGGGGUGGCGCUAGAGGAGGGGCCUGCGUCCGAUUAGCAGUUGGUGUGGUAAAAGCUCACCAAGGCAAUGAUCGGUAACUGGUCUGAGAGGACGACCAGUCACACUGGGACUGAGACACGGCCCAGACUCCUACGGGAGGCAGCAGUGGGGAAUAUUGGACAAUGGGGGCAACCCUGAUCCAGCGAUGCCGCGUGGGUGAAGAAGGCCU